RNAcentral lists this ribosomal RNA (853 nucleotides) under Candidatus Glassiibacteriota bacterium. Its description in RNAcentral is "bacterial SSU rRNA". It matches the Rfam family "Bacterial small subunit ribosomal RNA", at positions 1 to 834 of the family's 1533-position model. Lineage: Bacteria; Candidatus Glassiibacteriota. The record is from RNAcentral.
CGGAGAGUUUGAUCCUGGCUCAGGACGAACGCUGGCGGCGUGCUUCAUACAUGCAAGUCGAACGAGAAAGCUCCCUUCGGGGAGUGAGUACAGUGGCGAACGGGUGCGUAACACGUGAGCAAUCUGCCUCGAAGCCGGGGAUAACCUUCCUAACGGGGGGCUAAUACCGGAUGUGUUUACCGGAUGGCAUCUUCUGGUGAAUAAAGAUGGCGUGCUGAGCGCUAUCACUUCGAGAUGAGCUCGCGGCCUAUUAGCUUGUUGGUGGGGUAACGGCCCACCAAGGCAACGAUGGGUAGCCGGCCUGAGAGGGUGACCGGCCACAUUGGGACUGAGAUACGGCCCAGACUCCUACGGGAGGCAGCAGUAGGGAAUAUUGCGCAAUGGGCGAAAGCCUGACGCAGCAACGCCGUGUGAGCGAUGAAGGCCUUCGGGUCGUAAAGCUCUGUCAGGUGGGAAGAAACCCAGCCGGUGGAGAAUACCGGUUGGCUGACGGUACCACCAGAGGAAGCUCCGGCUAACUCCGUGCCAGCAGCCGCGGUAAUACGGAGGGAGCAAGCGUUGUUCGGAAUUACUGGGCGUAAAGGGCGCGCAGGCGGUUUGGUAAGUCAGAUGUGAAAUUCACCGGCUCAACCGGUCGAACUGCAUCCGAUACUGCCAGACUUGAGAUCAGUAGAGGAGAGUGGAAUUCCCAGUGUAGCGGUGGAAUGCGUAGAUAUUGGGAAGAACACCGGUGGCGAAGGCGGCUCUCUGGACUGAUUCUGACGCUGAGGCGCGAAAGCUAGGGGAGCAAACAGGAUUAGAUACCCUGGUAGUCCUAGCCGUAAACGAUGGGUACUAGGUGUUGGGGGUUUCC